GAGCUAUGCUAAAUUUUACCUAGUGCAGACUGUGGACUGCAUGAAUUCAACAUGGAAAAAUGCCAUUGCAAGAGUGCUAGAAAUGCAUAUAACCUAGCAAAAGCACUGUCCUUCUCUCACAAGGGCAGGAUCCAAGGAUUCUUUCUACAUUGUAGUAUUUCUGGGAUUUCUACUGCCUCAACAGCCAACAUUACUCCUGCUAAUUCAAAAGCAUAGCCAUGGACUUGGGAAGAGCAGCUGUAUGAGCAGAAUCAGCCAGAAUCUAAAUGUAAGAGGAGAGAAGAGGGACUGAGAGCUGUGUAGUACUGUAACUGUUACAUCACAUGGGAAUUUGAGCCACAAAACCUAGCUAUCGCCUAUUGUGUGCUACAGCUUCUGUAACCUGACCUGACCAAUAAGUCCUUUAAUUAAUUACAAUUGGGGCUAUACUUCUGUACAUUUACAAAAGCCAGGAGAAGACUCCUUGUACCUAUUCAACCAGUUGCUGUUAAUGUAUACAGCUCUUAAAAAGCACACUUGGAGCAGCCAUGAGCAUGAUGUGCUUUCUGAUCUUUUCAACUCCCAUCCAUGCUAACUGCCCUCUAGAGUGCCUGUAGACAUCGUGUUGUGUUUGGAAGGUCUUCCAGCAUACUAAGGCAUUGCAUGUACUACUUGAUCAUAAGGCUUUCUCUGGGUGUGCCUGAAGCCAUGCUUAUAUGAACAGCAUGCCUGGUCUUGAGAGCACAUCGAAGUAUCACUUCAGAGGCAACAGAAGGUGCUGUUUGUCUUUUAUUUAUUACUAAUGUAGAUAAGAUACUGCAAAUAAUGGCAAGUUUAAAAAAAAUCAGAUUGUUACAACUGCUUUCUUCCCUUUGCAGUGGAAAUGUAUUUAGCGAUCUCUCCCCAUUUAUUAUUUCUGAUAGAAGCAAAGUCUUACCACAGAAUUAGCUGAAAUUUCAUAUAUCUGAAUCCAUGUUCAUUCUUCCAGCAACAUCUUUCACAUUUUUUCCUUUCCUUCUCUUUUUUGGAAUUUGUGGUU
RNAcentral lists this long non-coding RNA (1018 nucleotides) under Athene cunicularia (burrowing owl). RNAcentral's name for it is "lncRNA (ENSACUG00000009209.1)". Lineage: Eukaryota; Metazoa; Chordata; Aves; Strigiformes; Strigidae. The record is from RNAcentral.